GAGGGCAUAGCUCAAGUGGUAGAGCGCAUGCUUAGGGUGCACAAGGUCCUGGGUUCAAUCCCCAGCACCUCCU
This 73-nucleotide transfer RNA is filed under the name Camelus dromedarius (Arabian camel). It matches the Rfam family "tRNA". Rfam says of the family: Transfer RNA (tRNA) molecules are approximately 80 nucleotides in length. Their secondary structure includes four short double-helical elements and three loops (D, anti-codon, and T loops). RNAcentral also lists the same sequence under 1 other name. The record is from Rfam by way of RNAcentral. Lineage: Eukaryota; Metazoa; Chordata; Mammalia; Artiodactyla; Camelidae.